This 479-nucleotide ribosomal RNA is filed under the name uncultured bacterium. RNAcentral describes it as "bacterial SSU rRNA". It matches the Rfam family "Bacterial small subunit ribosomal RNA", at positions 903 to 1397 of the family's 1533-position model. The record is from RNAcentral.
AAAUGAAUUGACGGGGACCCGCACAAGCGGUGGAUCAUGUUCUUUAAUUCGAGGCUAAACGAUAAACCUUACCAGGGCUUGACAUCCCAAGAAGGCUACCGAAAGGUAACUGUGCUUUUAGAACUUGGAGACAGGUGAUGCAUGGCCGUCGUCAGCUCGUGUCGUGAGAUGUUUGGUUAAGUCCAUCAACGAGCGCAACCCUUGCAAACAGUUGUAUUUUUCUGUUUGGACUGCUUCGGUAACGGAGAGGAAGGGGGGGAUGAUGUCAGGUCAGUAUUUCCCUUACGUCCUGGGCUAGAAACGUGAUACAAUGGCCGGUACAAUGCGAAGCGAAGCCGUGAGGUGAAGCCAAUCGCACCAAAGCCGGUCCCAGUUCGGAUUGAAGGCUGAAACUCGCCUUCAUGAAGUCGGAAUCGCUAGUAAUCGCAGAUCAGCAUGUUGCGGUGAAUACGUUCCCGGGUCUUGUACACACCGCCCGU